This 497-nucleotide ribosomal RNA is filed under the name uncultured bacterium. RNAcentral describes it as "partial 16S ribosomal RNA". It matches the Rfam family "Bacterial small subunit ribosomal RNA", at positions 28 to 507 of the family's 1533-position model. The record is from RNAcentral.
GAUGAACGCUGGCGGCGUGCCUAAUACAUGCAAGUCGAGCGAACAGACGAGGAGCUUGCUCCUCUGACGUUAGCGGCGGACGGGUGUGUCACACGUGGAUAACCUACCUAUAAGACUGGGAUAACUUCGGGAAACCGGAGCUAAUACCGGAUAAUAUAUUGAACCGCAUGGUUCAGUAGUGAAAGACGGUUUUACUGUGACUUAUAGAUGGAUCAGCGCCGCAUUAGCUUGUUGGUAAGGUAACGCCUUACCAAGGCAACGAUGCGUAGCCGACGUGAGAGGGUGAUCGGCCACACUGGAACUGAGACACGGUCCAUACUCCUACGGGAGGCAGCAGUAGGGAAUCGUCCGCAAUGGGCGAAAGCCUGACGGAGCAACGCCGCGUGAGUGAUGAAGGUCUUCGGAUCGUAAAACUCUGUUACUAGGGAAGAACAAAUGUGUAAGUAACCAUGCACGUCUUGACGGUACCUAAUCAGAAAGCCCCGGCUAACUACGUG